Molecule: small nuclear RNA, 303 nt
Filed under: Ochotona princeps (American pika)
Lineage: Eukaryota; Metazoa; Chordata; Mammalia; Lagomorpha; Ochotonidae
Description: 7SK RNA (ENSOPRG00000021825.1)
Rfam family: 7SK RNA
About the family: 7SK was discovered as an abundant small nuclear RNA in the mid-70s but a possible function has only recently been suggested. Two independent studies have found that 7SK RNA binds the CDK9/cyclin T complex (known as elongation factor P-TEFb). P-TEFb activates transcription by phosphorylating the C-terminal domain of RNA polymerase II.
Source: RNAcentral
GCUGUGAGGGCGAUCUGACUGUCACCUUUCUGAUAUGAGGGUUGAUUCGGCUCAUCUGGCUGGCUGCGUGGGCGUUCCCCUCCUCCUUCUCUGCUGCGUGUACGUCCCUAUCGACGCUGCCUGCUGGGUGGAACAGUACCACCUUCCACGCCAGAGGAGGACGGGUCUUCAGUCAAGGGUGCACAAGUAGCUGCACUCCACUGCUGGAUCCUCCAAAUAUGCUCUCAAAGAUAAAGUGGUCUGGAGCUCCACUAUUAAUCUGAAAUAAAGUUAUGUCACUAAAAUCAAAAUGAGACAUAAACU